CGUCUAUAUACGUAUAGCAUAUCAAUAAGCGGAGGAAAAGAAACUAACUAGGAUUCCCUCAGUAACGGCGAGUGAAGCGGGAAGAGCUCAAAUUUGAAAUCUUCAAGGUUCUACCUUGACGAAUUGUAGUUUAAAGAAGUGUUUUCUGUUGGAGUUUUGGUAAAAGUUCUUUGGAAUAGGACAUCAUAGAGGGUGAGAAUCCCGUAUUUGACCAUUAUUUCCAACUUUGUGAUACACUUUCAAAGAGUCGGAUUGUUUGGGAAUGCAGUCCAAAAUGGGUGGUAAAUUUCAUCUAAAGCUAAAUACUGGCGGGAGACCGAUAGCGAACAAGUACCGUGAGGGAAAGAUGAAAAGAACUUUGAAAAGAGAGUUAAACAGUACGUGAAAUUGUCAAAAGGGAAGCGUUUGACACCAGUGUUGUUUUCUCGAAAAUCAAUUAAAAAUGGCGGGAUUUUGUGUUGUAUUGACUUUAUCAGCUUUCUGCACUUUUUUCCUGUCUUUUUUAAUGCACUUUUCGUUUAACAAGUCAACAUCAAUUUCUUUUGUUGUAAAAGGGUCAUUGGAAGGUGGCUUUCUUUUCGGAGAAAGUGUUUAUAGCCUUUGGACUUCUGCAAUCGGAGAGAUUGAGGUCUGCAGCGUAGAUCCUUCGGGGUUAGAUGCAUUUGUGCUAAGCUAUAGCCUUUCAUAGACAACUUGUUGACUAUGAUCAGUCAUGUAGCUUACUCGCUUAUGUCAUUUUACCUACGCUUAGGAUGUUGACGAUCAGCUGAGCGCG
Molecule: ribosomal RNA, 775 nt
Filed under: uncultured Neocallimastigales
Lineage: Eukaryota; Fungi; Neocallimastigomycota; Neocallimastigomycetes; Neocallimastigales
Description: partial large subunit ribosomal RNA
Rfam family: Eukaryotic large subunit ribosomal RNA
Source: RNAcentral